Long non-coding RNA from Ornithodoros turicata, 326 nucleotides. RefSeq lists it as uncharacterized. Lineage: Eukaryota; Metazoa; Arthropoda; Arachnida; Ixodida; Argasidae. The record is from RefSeq and is a predicted model, not a curated record. The transcript is spliced from 3 exons.
GUGGGCACGGUUGCUCCUUCUGGAGUGCAACGAUGAAUAAUCCUCUGUGCUUCAUUCUACAGGGGACACUACCUUCUGCAUGGAAAAUUGCCACCAUAAUCCCCGUCCUGAAACCCGGAAAGGAAGCCUCUUGUCCUGCCAGUUAUCGUCCCAUCGCGCUGACAAGCUGCAUAGGAAAAACGUUCGAGCGAAUGAAAUCAAUGACCGGUUCGUGCCUUUGUUGGAAGCCUCCACGGAUCUUGACGGGCACAAAUGUGCAACACCAGUGCCUUACAAAGUAAAGCUCCCUGAUUGGAUUCCACUCAUGACCGAAGGCGGUCAGGGCU